This is a long non-coding RNA of Dendrobium catenatum, 431 nucleotides long. RefSeq lists it as uncharacterized. The transcript has 2 exons. NCBI's taxonomy places the organism in Eukaryota, Viridiplantae, Streptophyta, Magnoliopsida, Asparagales, Orchidaceae. The record is from RefSeq and is a predicted model, not a curated record.
CAUAACCCGCGCACGCUUUUUUCAUUUUUUUUCUUCGCCUCAAUGCCUCCUGACGCCCUAGCUUCAAGUCGUGCCCUCCGUCUCUCGUCUCUCCCGCUUCUUCGGUUCAUUUAACCCCAUAGAAGCCAAGCUCCCAGGUCCGAGCCAUCCAACCCUCUUACACGCCAUAGCCGUGCAAAGACCCCGCCUAGGUCCGGGGCUCUCUCACGCAACUGCAGUCGACUCCUUGUUUGCAUCAUAUUAGUUGGUACUAGAGAGCAGAGCUGGAAGAGUUUGAAGAAUUUGAAUUAUCAGAUAGAAAAAGGAAAAAUAGUUUUACCUUUUGUUGAGUUUUUAUUUUUUAUUACAUCAUGAAACUUCUUAAUGGGUUGUAUAAUUCCAAUUACUUUUUUUGUAAUGAUGUGAUGAUAUGCAAUUUGGUCUAAUUUUGA